This 97-nucleotide non-coding RNA is filed under the name Microbacterium sp. RNAcentral describes it as "Glycine sequence". It matches the Rfam family "Glycine riboswitch aptamer". Rfam says of the family: This family represents the bacterial glycine riboswitch. Lineage: Bacteria; Bacillati; Actinomycetota; Actinomycetes; Micrococcales; Microbacteriaceae. RNAcentral also lists the same sequence under 1 other name. The record is from RNAcentral.
AUGUCGCGUGCGGGAGAGCCCCGUCCCCUCGGGGAACGGGCACCGAAGGAGCAAGCCUCCCCGCCAAUCUCUCAGGUCCGCGUACCGCUCGCGUCCG